GACGAACGCUGGCGGCGUGCUUAACACAUGCAAGUCGAACGGAAAGGCCCUGCUUUUGUGGGGUGCUCGAGUGGCGAACGGGUGAGUAACACGUGAGUAACCUGCCCUUGACUUUGGGAUAACUUCAGGAAACUGGGGCUAAUACCGGAUAGGAGCUCCUGCUGCAUGGUGGGGGUUGGAAAGUUUCGGCGGUUGGGGAUGGACUCGCGGCUUAUCAGCUUGUUGGUGGGGUAGUGGCUUACCAAGGCUUUGACGGGUAGCCGGCCUGGGAGGGUGACCGGCCACAAUGGGACUAAGAGACGGCCCAGACUCCUACGGGAGGCAGCAGUGGGGAAUAUUGCACAGUGAGCGGAAGCCUGAUGCAGCAGCGCCGCGUGCGGGAUGACGGCCUUCGGGUUGUAAACCGCUUUCGCCUGUGACGAAGCGUGAGUGACGGUAAUGGGUAAAGAAGCACCGGCUAACUACGUG
Molecule: ribosomal RNA, 468 nt
Filed under: uncultured bacterium
Lineage: Bacteria
Description: partial 16S ribosomal RNA
Rfam family: Bacterial small subunit ribosomal RNA
Source: RNAcentral